GUCAUUUUUUCAGGACAGAGU
This 21-nucleotide microRNA is filed under the name Haemonchus contortus (barber pole worm). RNAcentral describes it as "hco-miR-5954". Lineage: Eukaryota; Metazoa; Nematoda; Chromadorea; Rhabditida; Trichostrongylidae. The record is from miRBase by way of RNAcentral.